RNAcentral lists this ribosomal RNA (497 nucleotides) under uncultured bacterium. RNAcentral's name for it is "partial 16S ribosomal RNA". It matches the Rfam family "Bacterial small subunit ribosomal RNA", at positions 28 to 507 of the family's 1533-position model. The record is from RNAcentral.
GAUGAACGCUGGCGGCGUGCCUAAUACAUGCAAGUCGAGCGAACGGACGAGAAGCUUGCUUUUCUGAUGUUAGCGGCGGACGGGUGAGUAACACGUGGUUAACCUACUUUUAAGACGGGGAUAGUUACGGGAAACCGAAGCUAAGACGGGUUAUUAUUUUAAACCGCUUGUUUCAAAAGGGAAAGAGGGUCUUGCUGUCCCUUCUACAGGAAUCCGGGCUCCUUUAGCUAGUUGGGAAGGUACCGGCUUACCAAGGAAGCGUUGCAUAGCCGACCUGGGAGGAUAACCGGCAACACUCGAACUGAUACACGGUCCAUACUCCUACGGGAGGCAGCAGUAGGGAAUCUUCCGCAAUGGGCGAAAGCCUGACGGAGCAACGCCGCGUGAGUGAUGAAGGUCUUCGGAUCGUAAAACUCUGUUAUGAGGGAAGAAAAGUUGUGUAAGUAACUGUGAACAUCUUGACGGUACCUAAUCAGAAAGCCACGGCUAACUACGUG